RNAcentral lists this long non-coding RNA (933 nucleotides) under Crocodylus porosus (Australian saltwater crocodile). RNAcentral's name for it is "lncRNA (ENSCPRG00005016461.1)". Lineage: Eukaryota; Metazoa; Chordata; Crocodylia; Crocodylidae. The record is from RNAcentral.
GCUGUAGGUUGUUCAAAACUAUUUACUUGGAUUAUUCAUAAUUUUCCAUGUAGUCGUAUGCAUAUGUUCUAAGUGAAUCACUGAAACUUCUUAAAGAGAAGGAUAAGGAAUGAGAGAGAGAGAAAAAGAAUAUUCUUGGUGGUGCUGGGCAAGAGGAUCCUGGAUUCUGAUCCCUUUUCUAGUCUAGAACCAUGUCCUGAUGAUUAUAUAGCCUUGUGAUUAGAAAUCAUGUGGAAAGCAUGAGUUUUAAGUUCCUCAGUUUGAGGUCUCCUAGAAUGCAGGUCACUUCCUGAGACAGUUCUCUAUUCAUAAUGGUGAUAAGGACUGGGUAAUCCUCUAUGCGUCUUGUGCAGGUGUCAUAGAAGGGCAUUUCGGACCAGGUGUUGCCUAUCCAUUACUGCUGCAAGCACUUUGACUAACUAGACAAAAUCUAGUCAUGAUUGUCUCUCUCCACCCACCCCAGCAUCCAAGAAUGUCCAGAGACUGAAUCUGUUUUGUGCCUUCAUCAAUACAUCACACCAUUGUAGCAGACAAUAGAGAAAGAGAAAAUAAUACUUUAAUGGAUCGGUGACGUGAUACCUUCCUGUUGAUGGCCCUAAUGUAAAGCCCUUUGAAGUCCAAAGACUUCUACCUGCCCAUUAGGCUUUAAAGAUGCUGGGAUACACAAUUUACACAACACAUGCAAAAGAAAAACAGGAUUCAUAGAUUGUGGAACACAAAGCCCUACUCGAAUCUCAACAAGACCAAGAAAACAAAGCCAGAUUAAGAAACUGAGGAAGUGGCUUCCUACAGUGUUGCUACUAAUCAAGUUUAUGCACUUGGAGUGUUGCUGCCCCUAGUGUGAUGUGAGGCCCUUUGUGUGCUUUCUAUGUGAUCCAAGAAGAUCCUGAAGGUCCUGGAAAGAACAGAAAGGCAAAAGAACAGGAAAAAAGG